GCAAACACCCAGGUACCUUGUUGAUCUUCUUAUUAAAUAUUGUAUGAAUUGUACAUUCUCUAUAUUCUAUGUUUGAUUGUGGAAUUUUCAUAAAAGAUUAUUGUGAUUGGAUGCAAAUGCGAAAAAACUAGAAUAAAAAGAUUAGUUGAUCAAUACGGCGAUAAUAAAUAGAUAUGGUGUACUUUUAUUUAUUAAUGUUUUAAUGAGUACAAUUGGUUUAUAAUAUGUUAUUCAUACUUAUAUAAAACAACAUACACUUGUGUAUAUUAAAUCACUCAAGGUGAGAUUGGAAAUGGAUUCAAGCGGGUGGAGGGCAUAACCAUGAGAGGGUAGGCCUUUGGAACUGUAAAUCCAGGCCGUUCAGUCAUAUCAACUACCUUAGGUGUCACCCCGUUAUCAUUGCACGCUGGUUUCCAAUCAAAGCACUGAAUCAACAAAGCCAUUAUCGUGGGGACAAGGUGCACAACUAAUGACAUUCCUGGGCAUCCCCUUCUUCCAGUACCAAAUGGAAGAAGAAUAAAAUGUUGGCCCUUGACAUCAACCAAAUUUUGAUUAUCAUCACCUUCACUGCCAGACAUGAACCUUUCUGGUUGAAACUCAAGUGGGUUUUUCCAAUUCUUUGGGUCUCUACAUAUAGAGCAAUUAUUUAUAAACAGAAUAGUUUUUGCUGGGAUAUCAUAGCCUGCAAUGUUGCAGUCUUCAGUUGAUUCUCUAUCAAAGAUAGGAAUUGGAGGGUGAAGUCUAAGUGUUUCUUUAAAUAUGGCUUGUAGAUAUGGAAGAUCUUGAAUAUCUGAUUCCUUCACCAGCCUAUUUUUCCCCACAACUGAAUCUAUUUCUUCUAUGGCUUUUUGCAAAAUAGUAGGAUGAUUGAUGAGUUCAGACAUUGCCCAUUCCACAACAAUCCCAGAUGUAUCAGUUCCUGCUGUAAGGAUAUCCUACAAAACAAAGUGAAGUUAGAUUUGGAGACUUAAGAGUGCAUGAAUAUUUAAAAUAAGUAUGAACACGUGAUAAGGCGUAUAUGAUGAGGGCGAUGAGGAUCAAAUAACUUACAAACAUGAAAGCCUUGAUGUUUUCUCUUGUCAAUCUAAUUUUUGAUUCUUCAUCCUCCAGUGUAUCCAGCAAGAUAUUGAGAAAGUCAUUAAUUUUGUGAUCACCACCCACAAAACUCAUAUUAGUUUUCUCCUUUUUCUCAUUUCUAACUUCUUCGCGCUUCUUCAUAAUUGCUUCAAGUAAAGCAUCAGAUCUCAAGUGAAUGUUCUUUGCUCUUUUUCGAAUUCCUUGCAGAUCAAUAUUUCUCAGAAUUCCAAUGAAAUCUGAUAAAUUGAACUGUGCAAGAAUCUCCAUGGAAUCUCGAACUAAAUUUCUAAUUUCCUUAGCCUGCUCAUCCUCCCCAGAACACCUAAUGUUCCACAUCAUUCGUGUGAUUAUAUUAUUUGAUACCUUGGUCACUUCUUGGGAUAAAUUUACAAUAGUCCCAGUUCUCGCUUUGUUCAAUAGAAAAUGUAUCAACUGUGAGGCCUCAUCAAAUCGAAUGUCUUUUAGUUGUGCGAGUGUUUGAUCACCAAGUAGUUCAGAAGCGACAAUCUUUUUCAUGAAUUUCCAGUAAGAGCCAUAAGGAGCAAAGACAAAAUCAACGGAGUUAUAAGUAAGAAGAUUGAUUGCAAUAUUUACUGGACGUGAAGCAAAGGUGUGGCCGUUGGUAAUGAGGAGUUCUUUUGCAAGCUCGGGAGUAGACGCGAUUAUGCAAAUGACUGAACCAAGGCGAAGAUGGAUCAAGGGACCAUAGCGCGCACAGAGAUUAUGAAAGGUUUGGUGAGGGGUGUUGUUGAGGAGGUGAAGGUGUCCAAUGAUUGGUAGUUCUUUGGGACUUGGUGGGAGUCUGGUAACGCACUUUUGGGUUUUUGGGGACCAAAACUUUCGACCUAAAAGGGUAGUUAGGACGAAAAUGCUGAUAUAAAAUAAUAUUUUAAGAAUCAUGAUUUGAAAAGUAAGGAGAUGAAUGACCGACCUUUCAAAAUCUGGCCUACUACAACACUACUUAUACAAAUCAUGGUAAGGUUACAAUAUAUUGGAUAUAUAUCAGACUAUCAAUUGCUUUCAUCUUUAUUUUUUCUUUUAACGAAUUAUAAUUUUUUCGUAGUACAGUAUAGUUUUAUGUCAUUUGCUUGCAGUUAGUAAUGAAAGGAUAUGUAGUUGGUUAUGAGUGUGACAUCUUGUCUAACUUGUUCUUUUGUGAAGCGAUAGUAUGGUUCACAUUGAUUAGAGAAUGUUUGGUUGUUAUAACAAUUUCGAAUCCUAUUUGAAUAUUUUUGCAUAAAGCCGCAAAUGAAAAAAACUUGACUACAUGUUUGCCAACUGCAUAUCACGAAUGGCUAAUUACUAUUUUUUCUUGUGGUUAUACGUACAACUAAUAGUAAGGUAUUUAUAAUGAUGAAAUAAAUGCUUUUACAGUUGAUAGAUGCAUCCAUGUGUUAUUUAAAUUUUUUAUAUGUGAUAUGCAUUUGGACUGAGUUGCUUGAUAUCUCAGCUCAUUCUAAUAGGAAAUAGUAAAAGAGAAGGCCUGGGCUGGUUUAACCGUGAACAGAGAACAUCCUAACACCUUUAGUACAAAGGAUUGAAUUUCACUUAAUCGUGGAAACAACAGAAUAAGCAAAUUAGCAACACCUAGGUACAUUGUUGAUCUUCUUAUUAUAUAUUGGUGCUUAGAGCGUUAGACUUGUGCAUAAUGCUACUUGAGUAAUUAUAUGAAUUUUUCAUGCUACAUCUGCUUUGGAUUUUUCUUAUCACUGAAUAUAAUAAAAAAUUGAAAAAUAUUCUUCAUGAAUUUGGCUAAUUUUUAUACCACUACCAAAUAAGAAAAGACAAAUUUUCUCCCAGGAUAUUAAACAUAAAAGAUUAUUGUGACAAGCUGCAAUCGGAAAAACUAGUAACAAAUAGCAAUUAGUUUUAUUGAUCGAUGAAUAGACAUGUACUUUUAUUCAUUGAUAUUGUAAUGAGUACAAUUGGUUUAUAAUGUGUUACUCCUUUUGUAAAACAACAUACACUUGGAUUAAAUCACUCAAGGUGAGAUUGGAAAUGUAUUCAAUCAGGUGGAGGGCACAACCAUGAGAGGGUGGGUCUUUGGAACUGUUAAUCUAGGCCUUUCAGUCAUAUCGACUAGCUUAGGUAUCACUACACGUUAGUUUCCAGUUAAAGCACUGAAUCAACAAAGCCAUAAUCGUUGGGAUAAGGUGAACAACCAAUGAUAGUCCUGGGCAUCCCCUUCUUCCAGUACCAAAUGGCAGAAGAUUAAAAUGUUGGCCCCUGACAUCAGCCAAAUUUAGAUUAUCAUCACCUUCAUUGUCAGACAUGAACCUUUCUGGUUAAAAUUCAAGUGGGUUUUUUCAAUAUCUUGGGUCUCUACAUAUAGACCAAUUAUUUAUAAACAGAAUAGUUCUUGCUGGGAUAUCAUAGCUUGCAAUGUUGCAGUCUUCAGUUGAUUCUCUCUCAAAGAUAGGAAUGGUGUUGAACUAUAUGCAGUGAUUAAUUAAAUCCUAACAACGCCAACAACCCACAACCUAGAUAUUCGUGAGAACACCUCCUUUGCAAUACAAGAUCCGUUUUGUCAAUGAAGUCAAAGAUUACCAAACAAUAAACAAUAGUAUAAGAAGAACAAAACAAUAAAGAACAAUAACACCAAGAUAUACGUGGUUCGGCAAUGCCUACCUCCACGGGGAACAAUGAGAAGAUUUCACUAUAAGGAAAGAAACACCGAUUACAAUAAUCUCCCUAGUAUCUUUCUCAAGAUCUUAAUCUCUCACCUUAAACCCAAUACACCCUUGGCUCCCAAAGUUCUCUCUCUUUUACUCUAUCUAUCUCUAUGUUUCUAUUGUUUUCUACUCUUUUGUCUUGCCUUAUUGUCUUGUAAGAUGUUUCUAUUGUUUUCUACUCUUUUGUCUUGCCUUAUUGUCUUGUCUUACAAAUACCAAGUUACUUGGGUAUUUAUAGCCCAUGGAUAGAAAUCAAAUCCAUAUAGAAUUACUAAUUCAAACUAGAGAUAAAUAGGAAACCGAGUCCAAAUAGAACUCCUGCACAUGUAUGGUUUUCUUAACCAAUAUAGGAAACUGAUCCUAUGGAUCAUACCUCUUAUAAGGUAUGAUCCUGUGCACCCAACUAUGGCGAGCUAAUAUACAACAAUCUCCACCUUGGCGAGCCAUCGACAAAAAAAACAAGAUCAUUGUAGCUUAAAUUUCUUCAAGCACCGUCACAUUGGCAAGAAUCCUUUUGCCUCAACGCACCUCAAGUGAGGAGGUGCUCCACCCAAUCUUUAGCAUGUAGAAAGAUUGAGCAAGUUCAAACAAUGUCUGAACUUCUCAACUGAAACCGGCUUAGUAAGACAAUCUGAAGCAUUCUCAUCUGUGUGAACCUUCUCAACUGUAAUUUCACCUGAGUCCAACCAAUCCCGAAUGCGAUGAUAACGAAUAUCAAUAUGUUUUGUUCUUGCAUGAAACAUUUGAUUCUUCGCAAAACAAAUAGCACUCUGACUGUCACAUCUUAUCAUGAUAGAAUUUUGAUCUAACCCGAAUGUGCUUACUAAUCCCUUCAGCCAAAUAGCUUCCUUGCAAGCUUCUGUUACCGCCAUAUACUCCGCUUUAGUAGUUGAUAGAGCAGUAACCGUUUGGAGCAUUAAUCUUCAACUAACCGGUCCUCCACCAUAAGUGAAGACGUACCCUGUGGUGGAUAUUCGCUUAUCUAAAUCUCCUGCAUAAUCAGCAUCCACAUAACCUGAAACACAUGCUUUCCCUUGUUGUCUUUCAAACAAGAUACCCAACGUCUUAGUGCCCUUCAGAUACUUGAAAAUCCAUGUCACAGCUUUCCAGUGUGGCUUUCCUGGAUUCGCCAUGUAUCUCGAUACUACACUUAGUGCUUGAGCUAAAUCAGGUCUUGUGCAUACCAUUGAGUACAUGAGACACCCUACUGCGCUUGCAUACGACUUCUUCUUCAUCUCUUCCACUUCAUCAUCUGUGGAAGGACAUUGACUUUUGUUUAAAACAAAACUGUUGUUCAAAGGAGUUGACACAUGAUCUGCAUCAAUCAUAUUGAAGCGCUCAAGUACCUUUUGAAUGUACUUGACUUGUGACAGCCAUAUCUUUCCAGCUUUCCUGUCUCUCCUUAUCUCCAUACCUAGGAUCUUCUGUGCAGGACCAAGACCCUUCAUGUCGAAUUCCUUGCUUAACAACGUCUUCAGCUCCUUAAUUCUAGACAUAUCCCGACAAGCAAUAAGCAUGUCAUCUACAUAAAGUAGCAAUAUGAUCACCAUCCCAUCAUCAAACACAUGAGUGUGCACACAACAAUCAUAGUCACAUCUUCUAUACCCAAUGUUCAGCAUAUAAGAGUCGAAACGUUUGUACAACUGUCUUGAAGAUUGCUUGAGCCCGUAAAGAGACUUCUUCAACCUACAAACCAGAUUUUCCUUACCAGCUUCAACAAAACCCUAAGGUUGAGCCAUGUAGAUGACUUCCUCUAAUUCACCAUGGAGAAAAGCAGUUUUGACAUCUAACUGCUCAAGCUCCAUAUCCUGCUGAGCAACCAGUGAUAGUAACACUUUAAUAGAAGUAUGUUUCACUACCGGAGAGAAAAUUUCAUCAUAAUCAACUCCUUCCUUCUGUGAGUACCCCUUCGCCACCAAACGUGCUUUGAACUUUGGUGGUUCUUUCUCAUUCAUUCCUUCCUUCUUCCUGUAAACCCAUUUACAGCCAACAAUUUUUCUUUUUGCAGGUUUAGGAACCAACUCCCAAACGGAAUUCUUGUAUAGAGAUUCCAUCUCUUCAUCCAUAGCCUCAAUCCACUCUUCUCUUUCGUUACUUUCAACUGCUUCACGAUAAGAAGUAGGAUCACCUUCACUAAUGCUUAAAGCAUAAUGAACUUCUUCCUCGAACCCAAGUCUAAUAGGUGCUUUGACUUGUCUUUGGCCCCGGUUCUUUGCUAUGCUGUAAGGUUGUUGCUUAUCUUUAUUAGAUUCAACCUCCUUUUCACACUGUUGUUGUUCUGGCCCAUCCUCUUCAACCCCUGCAUCUGACUCCUCCACCUGAAUAGGAGUCUCCCUGUUGGAUACCUUGGUAAGAGGAGAUAUCUCUGUAGUUGCUUUCUUAACAAUAGUGUUUUUCUCACCAUUCUUCAUGUCUUGAUUCAUAGGCAUAGUCUUCUCAUCAAACACAACAUCUCUACUAAGGAUUUUCUUUCGGUUCACUGGAUCCCAUAACUUAUAACCCUUCACUCCCUUCUCGAAGCCGAUGAAAAUGCAUUCAUGAGAUUUGGUUUUAAGUUUGGUUCUCUCAUCACUAGGAAUAAGAUCAUAUGCAUUACAUCCAAAUACCUUCAAAGUAGAGUAGUCUACCGGUUUACCUGACCAUACCUCUUCUGCACAUCUGAAAUCAAACAUCUUGGAUGGUGAACGAUUAACCAAGUGACAAGCAUGGUUAAGUGACUCGCCCAAAACAUCUCUUGUAGACCUGCAUGAAACCUCAUGCACCUUUCUUUAUUCAUAAAAGUUCUAUUCAUCCUUUCUGCAGCUCCAUUCUGUUGGGGAUUCUUCUUCACGGUAAAAUGCCUUGCAAUACCUUCAUCUUUGCAGUACUGUAGAAACUUCAUAUCCUUAUAUUCACCGCCAUUGUCAGUUCUUAGAUACUUGAGUUUUCUGCCUGUUUGAUUCUCUACCUCUGCCUUCCACUCCUUGAAUUUAGUGAAAACUUCGGAUUUCUCCUUCAUGAAGUAGACCCAAACUUUCCUCGAAAAAUCAUCCAUGAAAGUGACAAAGUAGCGAGCUCCACCUUUUGAUUGAGUAGGUGAAGGCCCCCACACAUCUGAGUGAAUAUAGUUAAGUACUUCUGUACUUCUGUUCUUUGUAUCUGCAGCUUUGAAGUGUACUUUAGUUUGUUUUCCCAUAAUACAAUACUUGCAGAACUCAAGUUUACACUCCUACACCCUUGAUAUAUUGGUUAUUGUGUAUCAAAAUAUUAGAUUAAGAGAUUUUCCUUCUUGUGCCUGUAUAAAUUGAAGAUCAAAGUAGACAAAUAACAAGCAAGGGUCGUACCCACCUCAGAGGGGGAGAUCUUAGCUCAAACACAAUUAAGAAUAAUAAUUAAGAAACACCAAGGAAUCAAUAAUAAAAGUUUGGUAAUUGAUUCUACUUCCUACAGGCAAUAAUAAUAAUAAAUCCUAACUUAAGAAUAUGGAAGAUAUGGAAAAAAAAGAUUAUAUGAUGACAUAUGGGGAGUAGUAGGUUUCCACAAUCUAGGUUAUGCAAUUAUAUCAUGUUGUUCUUCAUAUUCAAUCUAUAACAACUAACAAGUCACCUCUCAGUUAUUCCUAUUAGUUAUUAAUACCAAUAAUAAUCAAAUCCUCACCUCUCAGCUAUUGAAUCUCAUUAAAACGGGAUUCUAUUAUGCAUGCUAUUGAAUAUGCUUCAUUAAUCAAAUCCUCACCUCUCAGCUAUUGAAUCUAAUUAACUCCACAUAUUAUUCACAAUUAAAUCCCCACCUCUCAGCUAUUGAAUUUAAUCAUGAAAGGGUUCCAAUAAAAUAUACAUAUUACAAACAUGCAGUAAUCACCUCUCAGCUAUUUCACUACACAUCUACAAUAAAUAUAAUACUAUUAUCAAAACUAGGUCUCCCUAAAUUCUAACAAUAAUAUUUAACACCAUGGAUAACAAUAGCAUACAAAUAAUCAUACUUACCUCAUAUCGCGAAUUAGAGAUAAGUAAGCAUUAAGAACCUUGAAUCACAAUAAAUAAGAAGAAACAACAUAAUAAUCAUACAUCACCUAGAAAGCUUCCACCUUCCGCCCAUGAUGAUUUAGUUACUCAUACCAAUGGAACAAAUAAUAAAUUAAAGAACAUCAUAAUUGAAAUCAUGGAUUGAUUUUGAAUUGAGUACAAAAGUUGAUCUUGAAGUGGUGGCUAAAAACUUACCUUAGCUAAAAGAUAAUAAACCCUAGUUACAACUUCUCUUAAAUAUCUAUUACAUAGAAGAAUACUUGCAUGCAAAGUCUUCAUAACUUGAUCAAAUUCGUGGCAGCUGCUGUUGGCCCCACAGAGGGAUUAGGCAAUCAGCAAAACUUAAUCCUCUUGGGCUAGAAUUGUAGCUUGGGCCGAGACCUUCAGUUUGAUAUGUCAUGGGCCCCAAUCGGACUUCUGGUUCUUCUUGUAGAGCCUUUUUAAGAUCAAUACCAAAAAUAGGAAGUCCGGUCCACGUGAGUCAACAGAUUUGACCCAAAGUCUUCAGAAGUCAACAGUUGACCGAAAGUCAACUUAGGUAAGCAGCAGUUGACCCAAAAGUCAACCCUUGACCAAAAGUCAACCAAAGUCAAAGUUGACAAAAAAGUCAACCUUAGUCAAAAGUGACCAAAAAGUCAACCCGACCUAGUUGACCACUGGGUGCCCUUAGCAGAUUCCGCGGGUGCAAAUAUCCAAUCUUCUUCCCUUGUGCAAAUAACACCUCCUUGCUUGCUUUUCUCGAUUUUUUGCGGGCUUUUACUCAAUAUUCGCAUUUCGGCUCAUAAAACCUACAUAAAGACAAGAAUGCACUAAUCAAUAUAUAUAAUACAAUAAUAUAGGCUAAGUGCUAGACAAACAAUGUGUUAUUCGGGGCAUAAAUAUACACUUUUGAGGUCCGAUCAACCCUUCAACAAUUGUCGCUUGUGUAGUUCUUCCAUGGCUCUUUCACUCAUAUGCCCUAGCCUCAAGUGCCAAAGCUGAGUGUGAUCUUCUUGUGUAGAAACUGCAGCUCCACCAAUUACUGUAUUUCCUAAAAGCUUGUAUAAAUUGUUAGAAAGUCUUACUCCUCUCAUAACCACAAGUGAACCCUUUGAGACUAUGAGAUUCCCAUCUUUGGAUUUGUAUGUGUACCCAUUCUUAUCCAAAUAACCCAGGGAAAUAAAAUUCUUCCUUAGUACAGGAACGUAUUUUACGUUACCCAGAGUCCUAACAAUUCCAUCAUGCAUCUUCAACUUUACCGUACCAAUUCUACAAACUUUACAACUGGAAUUAUUCCCCAUAAAAACUACGUCGCCUUUUCUUUUCUCAAACGUGUCAAACCAGUCUUCGUUUGAACACAUAUGAUAAGAAGCGCCACAAUCUAAAAUCCAAGGCGAAGAAAUAUCAUUACCUGAAGAAGUCGCCAAAAUUUCUCCGUCGCUAUCAUCUGUAACAACGCUGGCUGAAUUUGAAUUUUCGGCAUUCUUCUUCUUUUCCUUAUAUUUCUUACAAUCUCGUUUCCAGUGGUCUGUCACACCACAUUCAAAGCAACCUUCUUUAUCCCUGGAUUUAGAUCUUCCCCUGCCUUUUGAUUUGCUACUUCUCUUAUUUGUUCGGCCUCUCUCAUUAGAAUUAUUGACAUAUAGUCCUUCUGCUUGAGAGUCUUCACCUGUGUUCUUAUUCAUCUUCACAUGAGAAAUUAUAUCUUGAACAACUUCAUCAUACUUUAAAGUAUCCUUGCUGAACAUCAAUGUGGUCCUGAAGUGCUUGAAAGAUGGAGGCAAAGAUCUGAGCAGGUACAGAGACUUGUCUUCAUCGUCAUACUUCACAUCCACCCGUAGCAAAUUUGUGAUGCACUUAUUGAACACGUUUAGAUGUUCCAUAAGAUCACCACCUUCUUCCAUCCGAAGAUUCAAGAGUUCAUCUUUCAAGAAAAGUUUAUUUGAUAAAUACUUACCCAUAUACAACUUCUCAAGCUUUUCCCACGUUCCUUUGGCACAAGUUUCCUCCAUCACAUUAAACAUCACCUCGUCCGAGAUAUGUAGUUCGAUGGAACUCAUGGCUUUGAGAUCUGCUUUGUUCCACUCGUCAUCUGACAUGUCCUUUGGCUUCUUGUCUUUCCCGUCAAGAACCACAUGAAGAUCUUGUUGGAUCAAAACGUUUCUCAUCUUCCUUUGCCAUAGUGUAAAGUUAUCUCUACCGUCAAACGGUUUAAUCUCAACUUUUACACCGCCGCCAAGAGUAGUAACCGAUGGUUUCUUACCGUCACUAUUUGUAGGAAUACCUAUAGUCUCCGUCAUCUUUGACAAAACCUUAAAUCCAACCUAAGCUCUUGAUACCACUUGUUGAACUAUAUGCAGUGAUUAAUUAAAUCCUAACAACCCGCAACCUAGAUAUUCGUGAGAACACCUCCUUUGCAAUACAUGAUCCGUUUUGUCAAUGAAGUCAAAGAUUACCAAACAAUAAACAAUAGUAUAAGAAGAACAAAACAAUAAAGAACAAUAACACCAAGAUAUACGUGGUUCGGCAAUGCCUACCUCCACGGGGAACAAUGAGAAGAUUUCACUAUAAGGAAAAAAACACCGAUUACAAUAAUCUCCCUAGUAUCUUUCUCAAGAUCUUAAUCUCUCACCUUAAACUCAAUACACCUUUGCCUCCCAAAGUUCUCUCUCUUUUACUCUAUCAAUCACUAUGUUUCUAUUGUUUUCUACUCUUUUGUCUUGCCUUAUUGUCUUGUCUUACAAAUACCAAGUUACUUGGGUAUUUAUAGCCCAUGGAUAGAAAUCAAAUCCAUAUAGAAUUACUAAUUCAAACUAGAGAUAAAUAGGAAACCGAGUCCAAAUAGAACUCCUGCACAUAUUUGGUUUCCUUAAUCAAUAUAGAAAACUGAUCCUAUGGAUCACACCUCUUAUAAGGUAUGAUCCUGUGCACCCAACUAUGGCGAGCCAAUAUACAACAAAUGGAAGGGUGAAGUCUAAGUGUUUCUUUAAAUAUGGCUUGUAGAUAUGGAAAAUCUUUAAUAUCUUAUUCCUUCACCAGCCUAUUUUCCUCUACAACUAAAUCUAUUUCUUCUAUGGUUUUUUCCAAAAUAGUUGGAUAAUUAAUGAGUUCAGACAUUGCCCAUUCCACAACAAUCCCAGAUGUAUCAGUUCCUGUUGUAAGCAAAUCCUACAAAAUAAAGUGAAUUAAGAUUAGGAGACUUGAGAGUGCAUGAAUAUGUAAAAUAAGUAUGAACACGUGUAUAUGGCGUAUAUGAUGAUGGCCAUGAAGAUAAGUAACUUACAAACAUGAAACCCUUAAUAUUUUCUCUUGUCAAACAAAUUUUGGAUUCCUCAUCCUCCAGUAUAUCCAGCAAGAUAUUACAGAACCCAUAUUAUUUUUCUCCUUGUUCUCAUUUCUAACUUCUUCGCGCUUCUUCAUAAUUGUUUCAAUUAAAGCAUCAUAUCUCAAGUGAAUGUUCUUUGCUCUCUUUCGAAUUCCUUGCAAAUCAAUAUUUCUCAGAAAUCCAAUGAAAUAUGAUGAAUUGAACUGUGCAAGAAUCUCCGUGGAAUCUCGAACCAAACUUCUAAUUUCCUUAGCCUGCUCAUCCUCCUUAGAACACCUAUGUUCCACAUCAUUCGUGAAAUUAUAUUAUUUGAUACCUUGGUCACUUCUUGGGAUAAAUUUACAACAGUCCUAGUUUUUGCUUUGUUCAAAUGAAAAUGUAUCAACUGUGAGGCCUCAUCAAAUCGAAUGUCUUUUAAUUGUGCGAGUGUUUGAUCACCAAGUAGUUCAGAAGUGACAAUUUUUUUCAUAAACUUCCAAUAAGGACCAUAAGGAGCAAAACCAAAACCAGCGGAGUUAUAAGUAAGAAGAUUGAUCGCAAUAUUAAUCGGACGUGAAGCAAAGGUGCGUUCGUUGGUAAUGAGGAGUUCUUUUGCAAGCGCAGGAGUAGAAGCGAUUUAUGCAAAGGACUGAACCAAGGCAAAGAUGGAUCAAGGGACCAUAACGGGUGCAAAGAUUGUGAAAGGUUUGGUGAGGGGUGUUGUUAAGGAGGUGAAGGUGCCCAAUGAUUGGUAGUUCCUUGGGACUUGGUGGGAGUAGGGUAAGGCGUUUUGGGGUUUUUGGGGACCAAAACUUUUACCUAAAACCGCAGAUAGGACGAAGAUGAUGAUGGAAAAUAGUACUUUAAAAAUCAUGAUUUGAAGAGUGAGGAGAUGAAUGACCAACCUUGUAAAGUUUGGCCUACUACGACGCUACUUAUACAAAUUAUGGGUAGAUUACAAUUACUGUAUGUUGAAAUAUAUUUAUUUUCUGUUCUAACUGAUUAGUAUAAUAUUUCUUUAGUAUAGUUUGAUGUCAUUUGCAUGUAGUUAGUUAUUAAUGAAAGGAUAUGUAGUUGGUUAUGAGUGUAACAUCUUGUUUCUAAAGCAGUAACGUGUUCAUUUGUGAAGUGAUCUUAUGGUUCACUUAGAUUAAAAAGUUUCUUGUCGUUAUAACCAUUUCAAAUCCGGGGAAUUUUGACUUAACCCCUCUAUUUUGUCCACGUUUUGAAUAACCCCCCCCCCCCAUUUGUCCAAGUUUGGACUUUACCCCCCCUCCGUCAGUUUUCAUCCAAGUUAACGCCUAUUUGCAUUUUUUCUUCCUAAAAUAUCCCUCACUCCUUCUUAGAUUUAACCCCCCAAAAGAACAAGGGAGGGGUAUUUUAGAAAGAAAAAUAUAUAUAGGUGUUAACUUAGACGGGAGGUGACAAAGAGGGGGUAAAGUCAAAACUUGAAUAAAUGGGAGGGUUUAUUCAAAACGUGGACAAAAUAGGGGGGUUUAAGUCUAAUUUUUCCUUCAAAUCCUCAUUGAUUAUUUUUGCAAAAAUGAAAAAGACUAGACUAUACUUGUCCGCUACUACAAGUAAUUUUUUCUUGUGGUACUAACUUUGAAGUACAGCUAAUAGUUAAUGAUCAAAGCAAAUGAGUGUACAAUUGAUAGUUAAAGAGUUGCAUGAUUUCUCAGCUCAUUCUAAAUGGAAACAGUUAAAGAGAAACCCUGGGCUGGUUUUUUGUGAAUAGAGACCAUCCUAACAUCUUUAUUACAAAGGAGGAUCGAAUUCAAAUUUUGAUGUAAAUUGGCAAGAAACUAAACAGAAAAAUUAUAUAUUUUUUUUUUGAUCAAGUGUUGAAAUUUUAUAAAUAAAACCAAACCAGUACAAACACCCACUGGCCAGUUUGCCUUACAGAUCACUACCCAGUUAAGCCAGAGGACAUAUCCUUUUUUUUACAAAGAGCCUAAAAUUCCUACCCUCUAUUUCAGCACAUAAGCAUAUCAGUUCUGAAGUGGGUAUCAUCCUCCAUUAGCCAUAGUUUUCUGCCAGUUGAAUAACAGUUUUGCAAAUCUAAUUUGUUCCCUGAGUUCAAGAGCUUUCUUGUCCAUGUUCAUCCACAGCCACACAGUCCCCUUAAUUUUUUUAAUUUCCUUAUCCACCACAACAUCCUGAUCUCUGAAAAUUACAUUAUUUCGAAGGUUCCAAAGGCACCAGACCACUGCAUAAGGUAAUACCGCCCACAUCCUUGCGUGGAUGCUAUCACCCUGCUUGGCAGGCCACUGUGUCAUGGCUAGUUUCAGAGAAGACCAGUCUGGAAUCUUACUGUUCACUGUGCUGUUGAAAUCUACCAAUUCAGUCCAUAUUUGCUUCGCCACCCUGCACUUGAAAAAUAUAUGUUCAAUGUUCUCUUCCGCACAUUUGCACAAAGCACAUCUAUUUGCCAACAUAAAACCUCUCCUUUGUAGUUUAUCCACCGUAAGGAUUCUAUCCCAAUGUAAGCUCCAUACAAAGAACUUGACUUUUGUCGGAAUACGUGGCUCCCAAGUGUAUUUAUAUGGAAACGAUAUCGCUUCCACAUCCCUAGUGCACACCCUCGACACCAAGUAGCGAUAGCAAGAUUUCACUAUGAAGAGUUUGUUUUUCUUCCAUUUCCACUCCCAUUCAUCCUCCUCAUCCACUAGAACCACAUCGCCAAUCAAUUGCAUAAGCAAAUCGAGUUAAUCUUGUUCACUUUGACGAAAAAGCGUUCUCCUAAGGUGGAGAAGCCAAUCACCAUCGUCACCCUUAUGAUCUUUUACGGUGCCCUCCUUCAUAGAUGCAUAUCUAUAGAUUCUAGGGAAUUUCCUAUUGAAGGGCACCUCUCCUAACCAUGUAUCUUGCCAAAACCUUAUUCGGUCACCCCUUUUCACAACUUUGGUAAUCCCUUCAAAAAACUCUUCUUGAGCUACUUGAAUGCCUCGCCAUAAGCUACAUCCAUGUGGUUGUGUGGCUUUCCUCGGUUCGCCGCCAUUGUCACAAUGUCCAUAUUUUGCAUCAAUCACUUUCCUCCACAAGGCGUCCUUCUCUUUGCCAUAUCUCCAAAUCCAUUUAGAAAGUAAAGCUUGAUUCAUAAAACUCGUCUUUCGAAUACCAAGCCCCCCUUCAUUCAUCGGAGAACAUACUACAUCCCAAGACACAAGAUGGAUUUUUCUUUUCUCUUCCUUGGUUCCCCAAAGAAAGUCUCUAACAAUUUUAUCAAUUUGUUAGCUAUACUCUUCGGGAUAGUGAGGAGGGAUAGAUGAUAAAUUGCAAGGCUCGCCAAUGUACUUUUAGCAAGAAUAAGUCUAUCUCCUUUGGAUAAUAGCUUCCUACCCCAUCCAUUGAGCCGCCUUUGGAACGAUUCAAUAACCGGGGUCCACACUUCCACACUUUUAUACUUAGCCCCAAGUGGUAGUCCUAAGUAUUUAGUGGGAAGUUUCCCGACUCCACACCCGAGCAAAUUUGCCAAGCCAUUCACAUUAGGAACCUCACCCACCUCGAAUAUAGAUGACUUAGAAUAGUUGAGCUUCAAACCCGAAAUUCCUUCGAAAAUAAACAAAAUUGCUUUGAUGGUGAGAAUUGCUUGAGUUGUGGCUUCAACAAGAAAAAUGGUAUCAUCCGCAAAUUGGAUUACUCCCACCUUGACCUCUCUAUUCCCAACAUAGAAACCAUCAAACCAACCAUUUCGCAUGCAUUUGAGUGUGAGUCGAGUCAGAGCCUCCAUUACUAAGAUGAAAAGGAAUGGUGACAACGGGUCACCUUGCCUCAACCCCUUUUGUGAUUUGAAAUUCCCCUCGGGGAUCCCAUCUAUCAUGAUAGAGAACCUAGGAAUCGAGAUACAUUUGUGCACCCACUUCCUCCACUUUAACCCAAAUUCCAUCCUUCCUAGAAUGUAGUCAAGGAAUCCCCAAUUAACAUGAUCAUACGCCUUUGAAAUGUCCACCUUACACACAAUCCCCGGAUUACCUUGUCUAAGCCUCGAAUCAAUGCACUCAUUAGCAAUGAGCAUACUAUCACUUGUCCUCCAUGAAGGCACCUUGGUUGCAACUUGCAAGACACCACACAAUGUAGUACUCUCUUCAAUCUUGAAGCCAUCAUCUUUGAUAUAAUCUUGUACACCCCACCUAUAAGACUUAUAGGCCUAUAAUCAUUAAGAGAAAGUAUACCUUCUCUUUUAGGCACCAAAGUGAUGUGAGUCGUAUUAUUCCGCCAAUCAAGAAAACCGGUCUUUUAGAAACUCCUUCACCACUCCCAUAAUGUCAUCCUUAAAGAUAUUCCAAAAAGUUUUGUAAAACGUCAUUGGAAACCCAUCCGGUCCCGACGCUUUCUCCCCAUCCAUGGCAUUUAGAGCUUGUACUACCUCUUCCACAUCAAAAUCUUUCUCCAUAUCCCCACUACUUGCUUCAUCAAGAGUGUCAAAAUGCAUCCCAUCUAGCUUGGGCCUAUGUUUAACCUCUUCUUUGAAUAGGUUCUCAUAGAAGCUAGUCACAUGUUUCUUUAUCAACUCCCCGUCUCUAGAGAAAUUAUAUUCUUCAGCUUUAGAAGUAAUCAGACAAGGUGAAACUAGCAGAAAUUGCAGUUAACGGUUAACCUCAUCUAUUACUAUACUAUGAUAUAUUGCUACAAUAUUAAAUCAAAACAAAAAUACUCAUAAUGCUUCCUGCAUGUUUAUUUGUUUCUUAAACAAGAGUGUUUGAAAAUAAUGAAAUUUUACAUGUAUUUGGCUGCAGUAUUACACAAGAGCUGCCACCAUGCUUUGCAAAACCAGCCUAGUCAAGUAAAAUUUGCGCAGUAGACUGUCGUACACUCAGACUCAGUGCUACCCAAGUGAGAAAAUAAUUGUUGACUCGACUCAUUACUGGAUUGAAUUGGUUCUUUCAAUGCAUUCAUCUAGCUAUUCAAGAGUUAUGCACAAAGAGCUGCUAUCAUUUUGCUCCCCAAAAGGUAAGUUUCACCAAACUUAUGCACACACAUACCAACCAUGUGCUGUCAGGUUGUGUGGUUUCUUUUAUUUGUUCUCCGCUGCUGUUUGGUAAACCCUUGAAUUUGGGGGUAUUGCUAAAUACUCCUUAAAUAUAGGACAGUAACCAUGACCAAACUGCACCUUGAACAAUUUUAUGGCUCGGCAUAUCCUUUAAUUAACCACUCCAACUCUUAAUAUUCACAUGUUCAGUUUGACAUUUUAUGAGAGCAAUUUAUGUGAAAUAACAGAUAGGUGUCUAGAACAAGUUCAUCUUCAUCUGUGUGAUUAAUAGGUAGGUGUCUACGCAGUACUAUUCUUAAAUGUAGGUUGUUUAGCUUUGUUGGCUGCAUCCAAACCAUCCGAUGGGACUGGUGGUGAUAUGACCAUUGCAGGGUUGUAUGAGAAAACCGGGGUAACACUGAAUAAAAGGGUCAAGUAUGGGUGCACGGUCGAAAGUGCAAGCCGACAUCUCCUGGCACAAGGUUAAUGGGCUUUGGCUCAAAUCAGCUGUUUAGAUCAGGAAUCUUGUGUUUCACAGUUGCAGGCGGUGGGGAUUAGUUGGGAAAAGAAAAAGGCCCAGAACUGUUGCAGAUGGGCGACUCUGCAAGUCUGCAACUGCAUUGCCCUGUAAGCUGUAAGAAGUAACACUGGCGACAAAUGCACACACAGACCUCAUUCUUGAGAAAGAUAUUGAGUGAUCAUAAGUCAUAACUCUUGUUCUGUUGUUUGGCAUAUUGGUCCAGUGAUGUCUGGAAAUUAAUUGAAUUUGUGUUAUCUGUUCAGGACUUCAGGCAUCAUAUUGAAUUGAGCUAACACCUUAAAUGAAUUUCUUUUGAUGUUAUGUGGUUAAAAUGUUAAUUAAAUUGAUCUGAAGAAAUGCAGGACGUGUACAUAUUAUAUGCCUUUCAUGGUUUGUGGGGUGAGUUAAUAUUUCUGAAUGCUCCACGUGAUAUUAUUAUGUAUUGGGAUUUGGAUUCUGAAGGACCAUUUUUUAUGGUGGUAGUUAGGUAGUAGGAAGACCAGUUUUUUUUUUGUUUUUUUUUUCCUUUGAUACCACGAAUAACCAGGAAGAACAGUUACAAAUCUAGUUGUUGAUU
Molecule: long non-coding RNA, 17105 nt
Filed under: Aquilegia coerulea
Lineage: Eukaryota; Viridiplantae; Streptophyta; Magnoliopsida; Ranunculales; Ranunculaceae
Description: long non-coding RNA (ACOE_LNC000659)
Source: RNAcentral